UACGGAGGGUGCGAGCGUUGUCCGGAAUCAUUGGGCGUAAAGGGCGCGUAGGUGGCGCGGCAAGCGUGCGGUGAAAGCUCGGGGCUCAACCCCGAGUCGGCCGUGCGAACUGCUGGGCUUGAGCACUGUAGAGGCAGGCGGAAUUCCGGGUGUAGCGGUGGAAUGCGUAGAUAUCGGAAGGAACGCCGGUGGCGAAAGCGACGUGCUGGACCGUCUUCUGACGCUGAGGCGCGAAAGCCAGGGGAGCAAACGGG
This 254-nucleotide ribosomal RNA is filed under the name uncultured bacterium. Its description in RNAcentral is "partial 16S ribosomal RNA". It matches the Rfam family "Bacterial small subunit ribosomal RNA", at positions 524 to 776 of the family's 1533-position model. The record is from RNAcentral.